RNAcentral lists this unclassified non-coding RNA (379 nucleotides) under uncultured Alphaproteobacteria bacterium. RNAcentral's name for it is "contains 16S-23S intergenic spacer region". Lineage: Bacteria; Pseudomonadati; Pseudomonadota; Alphaproteobacteria. The record is from RNAcentral.
UCGCGGCUUAUCACCGGCAGUCCCCCUAGAGUGCCCAACUGAAUGAUGGCAACUAAGGGCGAGGGUUGCGCUCGUUGCGGGACUUAACCCAACAUCUCACGACACGAGCUGACGACAGCCAAGCAGCACCUGUGUUCCAGGCUCCGAAGAGAAGGCCACAUCUCUGCGACCGGUCCUGGACAUGUCAAGGGCUGGUAAGGUUCUGCGCGUUGCGUCGAAUUAAACCACAUGCUCCACCGCUUGUGCGGGCCCCCGUCAAUUCCUUUGAGUUUUAAUCUUGCGGCCGUACUCCCCAGGCGGUGUGCUUAAAGCGUUAGCUGCGACACCGAAGAGCUAGGCUCCCCAACGUCUAGCACACAUCGUUUACGGCGUGGACUAC